RNAcentral lists this ribosomal RNA (855 nucleotides) under Echonitor cyrtochilus. RNAcentral's name for it is "Echonitor cyrtochila partial 16S ribosomal RNA". The record is from RNAcentral. Lineage: Eukaryota; Metazoa; Mollusca; Gastropoda; Stylommatophora; Helicarionidae.
UAAUUUACUGUAAAGGAUAAAAAUAAAAACUAAUUUUUAUCUACCUUUUGCAUAAUGGUUCAACAAUAAUAUAACUUAUAAGUAGUUUUCUCGAAUUUAGAAGAUCUAAUUAAAUUUAUCUUUUAGAAUAAAUUAUUAUAUAAUGUUUCAAAAUUAUAUUUAAAAGUUUAAUUAGGGGUGAAAGGCUUWYCAAUUCUAAAGAUAUCUAGAAUAAUUUAAAAUGUAUUUAGUACAGAAUAAUAUUUGAUUAAAAAAAUCUUAAGAUUUUUUUAAGUUAUAGAAUAAUUUAUUUUAAUGAAAGUUUUGGAAUAAUUAUCCUAAUGAAUUAUUUUUAUUAUAAUUUUUUAUUUAUUUAUCUAUCAUAAUAUAAAAUUAUACUUUAAAAAUUUUCUUAAAAGGCAAUUAUGUUGAAAUUAGUAUAAUUAUUAUAUUUUAUUAAGGAACUCGGCAAAUUUAAAUUUAUUCAUCUGUUUACCAAAAACAUAGUCUUAUGAACAUUAUUAUGUAAGAUAAAACCUGCCCACUGAUUUCUUUUUACUUUUAAAGGGCCGCAGUACUUUGACUGUGCUAAGGUAGCAUAAUAAAUUGACUCUUAAUUGGGGCCUGGAAUGAAAGGAUUUAAUGGGUAAUAUCUGUCUCAUUGUUAAAUUAUUAAAAUUUACUUAAAAGGUGAAAAUUCCUUUAAUUUAUUAUAAAAGACGAGAAGACCCUAGGAGUUUUUUCUUUUGUUGGGGCGACAGUAUAACAUUAAAACUUAUAUAAUAAUUAAAAUUUUAAUAUAACGAAUAAUUUUAAUAAUAAAUAAGCUACCCUAGGGAUAACAGCAUAAUUUCUUUUGAAGUUUGUGACCUCGAU